CGUCAUCUGGGCGGGUGGAUCCGGGCGCUCGCACUGUCCGCCGAUGGCAGUGAGAUCAUCGCUGCCGAUGGCGG
RNAcentral lists this transfer RNA (74 nucleotides) under Actinoplanes siamensis. Its description in RNAcentral is "tRNA-Ala". Lineage: Bacteria; Bacillati; Actinomycetota; Actinomycetes; Micromonosporales; Micromonosporaceae. The record is from RNAcentral.